RNAcentral lists this ribosomal RNA (543 nucleotides) under Phrynopus sp. I RVM-2018. Its description in RNAcentral is "partial 16S ribosomal RNA". It matches the Rfam family "Bacterial large subunit ribosomal RNA", at positions 1847 to 2604 of the family's 2925-position model. The record is from RNAcentral. Lineage: Eukaryota; Metazoa; Chordata; Amphibia; Anura; Strabomantidae.
AGGAGGUCCAGCCUGCCCGGUGACUUUUGUUUAACGGCCGCGGUAUCCUAACCGUGCGAAGGUAGCGCAAUCACUUGUCUUUUAAUUAAAGACUAGUAUGAAAGGCAUCACGAGGGUCAAACUGUCUCCUUUUUCUAAUCAGUGAAACUAAUCUUCCCGUGAAAAAGCGAGAAUAAAUAUACAAGACGAGAAGACCCUUUGGAGCUUUAAACUUAACAGCAUUUAAUUCACUAAGCCAAAUAAUUAUUUUAUAUUUUGUUGUAAGUUUUUGGUUGGGGCGACCGCGGAGAAAAACUAAUCCUCCGCAAUGAAUAAGAACUUAUUCUUAAAUAAUAAGCCACAGCUUUAUGUAUCAAUACACUUGACAUCCAUUGACCCAAUACUUUGAUCAACGAACCAAGUUACCCUAGGGAUAACAGCGCCAUCUACUUUGAGAGCUCCUAUCGACAAGUAGGCUUACGACCUCGAUGUUGGAUCGGGGUAUCCCAGUGGUGUAGACGCUACUAAUGGUUCGUUUGUUCAACGAUUAAAACCCCACGUGAU